Molecule: ribosomal RNA, 505 nt
Filed under: uncultured bacterium
Lineage: Bacteria
Description: bacterial SSU rRNA
Rfam family: Bacterial small subunit ribosomal RNA
Source: RNAcentral
GACGAACGCUGGCGGCGUGGAUUAGGCAUGCAAGUCGAACGGUAUCAUCCUUUCGGGGGUGAGAGAGUGGCGAACUGGUGAGUAACACGUAGGUUAUCUACCCUCAAGACGGGGACAACCCAGGGAAACUUGGGCUAAUACCGGAUGUGAGCAACUUUUAGUUGUUUGAAAGGUGGCGUAAGCUGUCGCUUGGGGAUGAGCCUGCGUCCUAUUAGUUAGUUGGUGAGGUAACGGCUCACCUAGGCAAUGAUAGGUAGGCGGCCUUAACGGGUGGUCGCCCACACUGGGAUUGAGAUACGGCCCAGACUCCUACGGGAGGCAGCAGUCGAGAAUAGUCUACAAUGGUCGGAAGACUGAUAGUGCGACGCCGCGUGAACGAUGAAUCCCUUCGGGGUGUAAAGUUCUUUUAUAUGUGAGCAGUGCUUCUUAUAUUAACAGUAUGGGGAAGAGAUAUUAGCAUAUGAAUAAGCAAAGGCUAAACUCCGUGCCAGCAGCCGCGGUAAUA